AGAGUUUGAUCAUGGCUCAGGACGAACGCUGGCGGCGUGCUUAACACAUGCAAGUCGAACGGUAAGGCCCUUCGGGGUACACGAGUGGCGAGCGGGUGAGUAACACGUGGGUAAUCUGCCCUGCACAUCGGGAUAAGCCUGGGAAACUGGGUCUAAUACCGAAUAGGACCACAGGACACAUGUCCUGUGGUGGAAAGCUUUUGCGGUGUGGGAUGGGCCCGCGGCCUAUCAGCUUGUUGGUGGGGUGAUGGCCUACCAAGGCGACGACGGGUAGCCGGCCUGAGAGGGUGUCCGGCCACACUGGGACUGAGAUACGGCCCAGACUCCUACGGGAGGCAGCAGUGGGGAAUAUUGCACAAUGGGCGAAAGCCUGAUGCAGCGACGCCGCGUGGGGGAUGACGGCCUUCGGGUUGUAAACCUCUUUCACCAUCGACGAAGGUCCGGGUUUUCUCGGGCUGACGGUAGGUGGAGAAGAAGCACCGGCCAACUACGUGCCAGCAGCCGCGGUAAUACGUAGGGUGCGAGCGUUGUCCGGAAUUACUGGGCGUAAAGAGCUCGUAGGUGGUUUGUCGCGUUGUUCGUGAAAUCUCACGGCUUAACUGUGAGCGUGCGGGCGAUACGGGCAGACUUGAGUACUGCAGGGGAGACUGGAAUUCCUGGUGUAGCGGUGGAAUGCGCAGAUAUCAGGAGGAACACCGGUGGCGAAGGCGGGUCUCUGGGCAGUAACUGACGCUGAGGAGCGAAAGCGUGGGGAGCGAACAGGAUUAGAUACCCUGGUAGUCC
Molecule: ribosomal RNA, 783 nt
Filed under: uncultured bacterium
Lineage: Bacteria
Description: bacterial SSU rRNA
Rfam family: Bacterial small subunit ribosomal RNA
Source: RNAcentral